Molecule: ribosomal RNA, 498 nt
Filed under: uncultured bacterium
Lineage: Bacteria
Description: partial 16S ribosomal RNA
Rfam family: Bacterial small subunit ribosomal RNA
Source: RNAcentral
GACGAACGCUGGCGGCGUGCCUAAUACAUGCAAGUCGAGCGAAGUUUUGCUGGUCCUUGCACUAGGAAAACUUAGCGGCGAACGGGUGAGUAACACGUAAAGAACCUGCCUCAUAGACGGGGACAACUAGGGGAAACGAGAUCUAAUACCGGAUAACAGUAUUUCUCGCAGGAGAGAUAUUUAAGAGUUGUUUGUGCUAACACUAUGAGAUGUCUUUGCGGUGCAUUGCUAGUUGGUGGGGUAAAGGCCCACCAAGGCGACGAUGCAUAGCCGACCUGAGAGGGUGAUCGGCCACACUGGGACUGAGACACGGCCCAGACUCCUACGGGAGGCAGCAGUAGGGAAUCUUCCGCAAUGGGCGAAAGCCUGACGGAGCAACGCCGCGUGAGUGAAGAAGGAUUUCGGUUCGUAAAGCUCUGUUGUUAGGGAAGAACGGAUAUGUAGUAACUAAACAUGUACGAGACGGUACCUAACCAGAAAGCCACGGCUAACUACGUG